AAAGUGAAAUUGGUGGGUAAAAGCUAUGGAGAAGGAAAGUGAAGGGAUUGAUUGGUGUUUUCCUGUUAGAGACGCUGCUAAGGGUAUAUUUUAUUAGUUCAGUAUUAAUGAAGGUGUGGCAAUUGUUUCUGGGAAGAAAAGGACAGUCUCUUUUGGUAAUUUCAGAUACUCAGAAUCUAGAUGGGAAGAACCAACCAGAAGUACAAUGGCAUACUAGUCAUAUGGAUUUGAUGCUGAUCAAUCUGACAGAGGAAACGUGCUUAAAGGGUUAGAUCUUGGUAUUGAAGGCAUGCGAGUGGCUGACCAGGUUAGAAUGAAGUUUAUUGGUCCAUUUCGUUAAUUCCCAUAUAGAGAAAAUAACAUUGUUGUAUAAGUAUACCAUUUUACCAAAAAAAUAAAUCAAUUCAAGCUAAGAGUUUGGUUGCUUUGGUUCUGAAGCAUAUAUUACUUUUCAUAGAGAGUGGUGAUAGCUCCUCUAAAACUAGCUUACAGAAGCAAAGGAGUCCAGGAGAUUCCUCCAUCUGUAACGACUAACGAAACAAAACUAAUAUAAUAGAUAAAUCGUCGACAGUCAUCAUCCUUGGAAAAACAAAUACUCCAUCUGUGAAUGGGCAAAAAAAUUGGUACUGAAAUUACCCAUCCGUGAAUCAAGAAGAAGGUAACUAUCCCCCCUUUUGUAUUCUCUUGGUUUCAGUUUUGUGUUGAAAUAAAUUAUUAGAAUGAUUGGGUUUUGUUUCGUUGAUGUUGCUGGUUCUAUGAAAUUGUGAUGGGUAGUUGGGGGUGAUUUACUUUUGAUCUUUAGCUCGAGGUCUCCAAUUAUAAUCAUUUGAUAAUUCUUUUAUACUUUAUGGCAUAUGUUGUAUGUAUAAACCCUUUUUUCCAUCGUUUGCAUUCUUUGGGUAUACAAACCUUUCAACAUUUAUUCUGUGUUUUCUCGGUUUUCUUCAUUUCUUCAUGCAGUACAAUUCUUCUGUAUCAUAGUAGUUUUUGAUAGAAUAUGUUGCAGAGGGAUGUGCAAGAAUAACUAUUCCAGAAUAUUAAACCAUCAAUCAAAUUAGUAUCUAAAACGGAAAAGGAUAAAGAUCUGACUUUGAACUUAAGUUUGAGGAUUUGUUAUGGUUUUAGUUUCAAGAAAUGAGAAUUAUGUAUGAAUUUUAAAUUAUCGGUUUUGAUUGGAUGUUAUGUUCUUUUGAGGAUUUUGGUCUAGAAUUUCAUAAAAUGGAAAUUGCGGUCAUUCCUAUAGAUUUUUAUAUAAAAUCAGAACUAUUAGUGGUAAGCAUUAUGAGGGUUUGAGUUUAACUUUGAAUGAAUGGAAUUUUUAUGAAGUUGUUGUGUUUUUGGCAUGAAAAAGUUGAAAUUGGGUGCUGAGGAAGGUAAUUGUUAGAAAAACAUUCACAUGAAAGGUAUAUAAAUGAUUGCAUUUCCAUCUUUGAAGUCCUUUUUUCCCCUGGCAAAGGACAUCUACUGAAGUUGUUACUUUUGGACUUUUGGUUCUGUAUAGAUUUUGUCAUAUUGCUACAUUAUUGAGUUCAUUUUUAUCGUUUACACGCUUACAUUUACUGAUUUGUUUUCUUAUAUAAAGGUACCAUCUACUAUGUGAAAGAAGUCCAAUGCCUCACAAGGAGUGUGUAGCCAAGGUUUCUGAGAAAUGGAAUCUUAAUGCAUGGUUACAAAUGCAAGAAAGAGAAGGAAUCAACAGAAGCGGCAAAUCAUUAAGGAGGGUUCGGUGUUUUUCGUCCCCAAAUGGGAGAAAUGAAAAGACUUCUCUUACAAACCAAAAUGCUCAUUUGGAAAGUCCAAAUUCUCCAAUGGAGCGCCAGAUGUGGCAGUGAUAAAGGAUCACGUUGCAUAUGUUAUAUUUUGUGAAUAUGGUAUCCAUAUCGUAGAUGGAAAAUUGAUUCAACUUCUUGGGGAAGUAUGCUAUCCUGAAACAUCUCUUGAUGAAAUUAUUGUGUUUCUAAGCUAUUCCAUAGUAUUUACAUUUUUUUGUGUGAGAUGUGACGUAGCUUACUUUUUAGUCGUAAUCAUAUUCGACGGCAUGGUCUGUGUCCAAUGGCGACACCGCAGAGUCAUGUUUAUACCUUUAAGGUUACAAGUUUGGUCUCAAUUCUUUGUUAUACAGAAAGUUUAGAUUAGGAAUCCAGUGGAAGACCUGUAUUUGUCUACCUUACUGGGCACAGUUGGAAAAGAAAACCUGGGUCUUUAAAGGACCAAUACUUCCAUCUUUUAUCAUUUCAAGAAUGUUUAAGCAAGAUAAUCUGCUGUGAAUUACAUGGUCAGUAUCAACAUUGUUGUUUGCAAAUCAUCGUUCUUUUGACACUUUUAGUUAUCACACCCUUCUUAAGUACACCCCAAAUUUUAUUCUUGCGAUCAUCACACUCAGCUUAAGUUUUUAGGUAAGAACUUUAAGACAACAAUACAUAUUCAGCUUAAGUAUUUAGGUAAAUACAUGAAGUUAUUUUGUAUGAUUAUAAAUUUGUGAGAAGCGUAAUUGAAAUAUUUAAUUCUAUUGAAUUUUUCUAUACAAAUAUAUCACUCAUGGGAACAUUGGUUAUUAACAACGUCCAGUUCAUAGGAAAACAUAGCAACUGAUUCUACCUACACAUGGAAAACGAAACAGAACAGUGACUUCCAAUUCCUACACAAGCAUUCAUCUCAGACCAGUCCAUAAGUAGUGUAUAUACUGUUAUGGUGUUGUUUAAAGAUGAUAUACUGAAUUAAGCAAUACACAGUUUCGUAUUUUUGUUUGAUUAGUAAACUAUGAGAAUUAUAUCCACAGUUCUGCCUUAUUAUAUUAAGCUUUCCUCUUUCUUGCUAAAAUUAACUUAGACCUGAAACUUAACCAGUUAAAUUGGUAAACAUUAAGCUUAUCAAAUUGUACUCGAGAUGUCACUACUAUUCACCAACUGUUUAUAGUGGUGUUUAUUGAAUACUUAAAAUUCCUUUGCAUAUUCACUUAAAAUUCCUUUGCAUAUUCACUAUUAUUCACCAACUUACCCACUUAUAGUGGUUUAAUUUUCUUCUUUUGCUGCAGCGACGCUUAUAAUUCAAGAUAUGAAGGAGCUGGGAUAUGGAUAUCAUACGCAUGAAGUUUGUCAUACCGGCAUGGCUCAAGUUAUAAUGGCCUCAUGGUAGAAGGUUACUUAGUCCUUUGAGCUUCCAUGCGAGUAUUGCUUGCAUGCCCGGAGCCGGAGAUAUUUUCUUCCGCAGUAAGCUCUAUCAUAUGCUGGCUCUGUGUAACUACCAAUAUUUUACACUAGAGAGGUAGGGAAAUUUAAUAUUCAUCCAACUCUGUAUUUAAAUUCCAGGAUCAACAGUUUCUUAUCCCUUGCAUGGUGUACAAUGAAUAAGUGAAGACGGCUAGCAUUUAGAUAGAGAUUCUACAAAUAUACCGAAAAAAAAAAAAACUUCUUUUCGAGGCUGUUUAAUAAUCAAUUUCAUUUCGAGAUCAAGAUAUGUUGGAUUUCAUUUUUAGGGUGUUGUAAAUUAUUGUAACUUGAACCAUCAUUAUCUUUGUUUCUUUAAAUUUUAACUCAGACAAGUCGGAAUUUCUGGCCAUUUGUCUAUUCAAGUAUGUUGG
Papaver somniferum (opium poppy) is the source of this 3580-nucleotide long non-coding RNA. RefSeq lists it as uncharacterized. The transcript is spliced from 5 exons. The record is from RefSeq and is a predicted model, not a curated record. NCBI's taxonomy places the organism in Eukaryota, Viridiplantae, Streptophyta, Magnoliopsida, Ranunculales, Papaveraceae.